GAGUUUGAUCUUGGCUCAGGACGAACGCUGGCGGCGUGCUUAACACAUGCAAGUCGAACGGUGAUCCCUGGCUUGCUGGGUGAUCAGUGGCGAACGGGUGAGUAACACGUGAGUAACCUGCCCAUGGCUCUGGGAUAACCGUGGGGAAACCGAGGCUAAUACCGGAUAUGACGCGCACAGGCAUCUGUUGCGUGUAGGAAAGUUUUUCGGCCAUGGAUGGGCUCGCGGCCUAUCAGCUUGUUGGUGGGGUAAUGGCCUACCAAGGCGACGACGGGUAGCCGGCCUGAGAGGGCGACUCGGCCACACUGGGACUGAGACACGGCCCAGACUCCUACGGGAGGCAGCAGGUGGGGAAUAUUGCGCAAUGGGCGAAAGCCUGACGCAGCGACGCCGCGUGAGGGAUGAAGGCCUUCGGGUUGUAAACCGUC
Molecule: ribosomal RNA, 428 nt
Filed under: uncultured bacterium
Lineage: Bacteria
Description: bacterial SSU rRNA
Rfam family: Bacterial small subunit ribosomal RNA
Source: RNAcentral